CCUGGUCCUAGAGAUAUUGUAGGUGUGGCUGCUGUGUCACAUGAAUAUCACUAGGUGGCAGAGAGGAGAGCGGCUAUGUCUACAUUCAGUAUUCUGACUUAGGAACAUCUGAAUGAUUACUAUACUAACACU
Small nucleolar RNA from Rattus norvegicus (Norway rat), 132 nucleotides. Ensembl annotates it as small nucleolar RNA SNORA17. Lineage: Eukaryota; Metazoa; Chordata; Mammalia; Rodentia; Muridae. The record is from Ensembl.